AGCACGACACCUCUGCUUACUGCUUAAAAGGAAAUAGUUCACUGUCUGCUUUUUCUCUUCCUCUUUUUCUGGACGGAGCACAAGACGUGGUCAUGACCCAGCUUUGACCACGCAGCUAAGGACAACCUCUUAGGAACUGUGAUGCAACAAGAUGGGCGAGAGCCACGUCCCUAAAUGACCCAAAGGAGCUCAGCGGCGCCAGCAGCCUGGACCACUCAUCUCUCUGAGAUGAAGGAAGCAGCUGUUAAAAAAAUCCAGGCCGCACACAAGAAGCAUGAAACGCCACCACCAACAAUAACAACGACGACGACGGAUAACAGUAACACGGAAGUGCUCUGGGCUGGCCAGUGCGGUGGUGCUGCAGCCGCUCUCGGCCGGCACUGGGCAGAUGUGUGGUGCACAGACAUACACAGAGG
Molecule: long non-coding RNA, 416 nt
Organism: Peromyscus leucopus (white-footed mouse)
Lineage: Eukaryota; Metazoa; Chordata; Mammalia; Rodentia; Cricetidae
Exons: 3
Source: RefSeq, a predicted model, not a curated record